RNAcentral lists this transfer RNA (66 nucleotides) under Spongicola levigatus. Its description in RNAcentral is "tRNA-Gln". The record is from RNAcentral. Lineage: Eukaryota; Metazoa; Arthropoda; Malacostraca; Decapoda; Spongicolidae.
UAUAAUUUAGUGUAGGAGCACGUAAAAUUUUGAUUUUUAAAGAUAUAAUUGUUUUGUAAGUUAUAA